GUUUGAUCUCAAAUCAGG
RNAcentral lists this ribosomal RNA (18 nucleotides) under Tomentella coerulea. RNAcentral describes it as "partial 28S ribosomal RNA". Lineage: Eukaryota; Fungi; Basidiomycota; Agaricomycetes; Thelephorales; Thelephoraceae. The record is from RNAcentral. RNAcentral also lists the same sequence under 1 other name.